Molecule: non-coding RNA, 146 nt
Organism: Ciona savignyi (Pacific transparent sea squirt)
Lineage: Eukaryota; Metazoa; Chordata; Ascidiacea; Phlebobranchia; Cionidae
Source: Rfam
UACCUGGUUGAUCCUGCCAGUAGUCAUAUGCUUGUCUCAAAGAUUAAGCCAUGCAAGUCUAAGUACGAGCUCUCGUACAGUGAAACUGCGAAUGGCUCAUUAAAUCAGUUAUGGGUCAUUUGAUCGUACAGUUUACUUGGAUAACU